This 500-nucleotide ribosomal RNA is filed under the name uncultured bacterium. RNAcentral's name for it is "partial 16S ribosomal RNA". It matches the Rfam family "Bacterial small subunit ribosomal RNA", at positions 30 to 523 of the family's 1533-position model. The record is from RNAcentral.
AUUGAACGCUGGCGGCAUGCCUUACACAUGCAAGCCGAACGGCAGCACGGGGGCAACCCUGGUGGCGAGUGGCGAACGGGUGAGUAAUACAUCGGAACGUGCCCAGUCGUGGGGGAUAACGUAGCGAAAGUUACGCUAAUACCGCAUACGAUCUACGGAUGAAAGCGGGGGACCGUAAGGCCUCGCGCGAUUGGAGCGGCCGAUGUCAGAUUAGGUAGUUGGUGAGGUAAAGGCUCACCAAGCCGACGAUCUGUAGCUGGUCUGAGAGGACGACCAGCCACACUGGGACUGAGACACGGCCCAGACUCCUACGGGAGGCAGCAGUGGGGAAUUUUGGACAAUGGGCGCAAGCCUGAUCCAGCCAUUCCGCGUGCAGGACGAAGGCCUUCGGGUUGUAAACUGCUUUUGUACGGAACGAAAAGGCUCUGGUUAAUACCUGGGGCUCAUGACGGUACCGUAAGAAUAAGCACCGGCUAACUACGUGCCAGCCGCCGCAGUAA